This 567-nucleotide ribosomal RNA is filed under the name uncultured fungus. RNAcentral describes it as "eukaryotic LSU rRNA". It matches the Rfam family "Eukaryotic large subunit ribosomal RNA", at positions 62 to 648 of the family's 3401-position model. The record is from RNAcentral. Lineage: Eukaryota; Fungi.
AAACCAACAGGGAUUGCCCUAGUAACGGCGAGUGAAGCGGCAACAGCUCAAAUUUGAAAUCUGGCGCUUUGGGCGCUCGAAUUGUAAUUUGUAGAGGAUGUUUCUGGGCCGCCCCCGGUCUAAGUUCCUUGGAACAGGACGUCACAGAGGGUGAGAAUCCCGUACGUGGCCGGGUGGGCACCCUGCACGAAACUCCUUCGACGAGUCGAGUUGUUUGGGAAUGCAGCUCUAAAUGGGAGGUAAAUUUCUUCUAAAGCUAAAUACCGGCCAGAGACCGAUAGCGCACAAGUAGAGUGAUCGAAAGAUGAAAAGCACUUUGGAAAGAGAGUUAAACAGCACGUGAAAUUGUUGAAAGGGAAGCGCUUGCCACCAGACUUGUGGGCGGAGUUCCGCCGGUCUUCUGACCGGUCUACUCUCCGUCCGCAGGCCAGCAUCACUUUGGGUCGCCGGAUAAACACGGCGGGAAUGUGGCUCCCCCGGGAGUGUUAUAGCCCACCGCGCAAUACGGCGUACCUGGAGUGAGGUCCGCGCUUCGGCAAGGAUGCUGGCGUAAUGGUUGUAAGCGGC